Molecule: long non-coding RNA, 421 nt
Organism: Trachemys scripta elegans
Lineage: Eukaryota; Metazoa; Chordata; Testudines; Emydidae
Exons: 3
Source: RefSeq, a predicted model, not a curated record
CGCGGCUCGGCCGGGCGGGGAUCGGCUCUUUUGCGGUGGGACUGAAGCUGCAAAGUUCAACCCAAACGUGUUGCUUCCUGAUGGCUGCUGCUGUCCAACUUCACCUGCUCAAGUGAUUUGCCCAGUAGGGCUCUUGCUGCUGGCCCUCUGCCUGGCAGCCUCCAUAGCUCGGUGACUGCAGCGAGGGGGCUUCCUUUCGUGCCUCCACCCGUCUAGGAAAAAAAGGUGGGGGAGAGACAGCAGACAGACACAUAUCCAGAAAAACUGAAAACUAAAGAAAGGAAAGGACAGAAUACCCUCUGGAUUUUCUUCCCAUGUGCAGAGUAUACUGACUGAAGCAUUCAAUCAACUCUGAGGAUCAAUGUAUUUGUAAAUGUUUCAUUUUAAGGGUCUGCCAAAGGUGGGAAAGUCUCUCAAAAGG